Molecule: ribosomal RNA, 1315 nt
Filed under: Salmonella enterica subsp. enterica serovar 1,4,[5],12:i:-
Lineage: Bacteria; Pseudomonadati; Pseudomonadota; Gammaproteobacteria; Enterobacterales; Enterobacteriaceae
Description: bacterial SSU rRNA
Rfam family: Bacterial small subunit ribosomal RNA
Source: RNAcentral
AAAUUGAAGAGUUUGAUCAUGGCUCAGAUUGAACGCUGGCGGCAGGCCUAACACAUGCAAGUCGAACGGUAACAGGAAGCAGCUUGCUGCUUCGCUGACGAGUGGCGGACGGGUGAGUAAUGUCUGGGAAACUGCCUGAUGGAGGGGGAUAACUACUGGAAACGGUGGCUAAUACCGCAUAACGUCGCAAGACCAAAGAGGGGGACCUUCGGGCCUCUUGCCAUCAGAUGUGCCCAGAUGGGAUUAGCUUGUUGGUGAGGUAACGGCUCACCAAGGCGACGAUCCCUAGCUGGUCUGAGAGGAUGACCAGCCACACUGGAACUGAGACACGGUCCAGACUCCUACGGGAGGCAGCAGUGGGGAAUAUUGCACAAUGGGCGCAAGCCUGAUGCAGCCAUGCCGCGUGUAUGAAGAAGGCCUUCGGGUUGUAAAGUACUUUCAGCGGGGGGUAGCGGUGAAAUGCGUAGAGAUCUGGAGGAAUACCGGUGGCGAAGGCGGCCCCCUGGACAAAGACUGACGCUCAGGUGCGAAAGCGUGGGGAGCAAACAGGAUUAGAUACCCUGGUAGUCCACGCCGUAAACGAUGUCUACUUGGAGGUUGUGCCCUUGAGGCGUGGCUUCCGGAGCUAACGCGUUAAGUAGACCGCCUGGGGAGUACGGCCGCAAGGUUAAAACUCAAAUGAAUUGACGGGGGCCCGCACAAGCGGUGGAGCAUGUGGUUUAAUUCGAUGCAACGCGAAGAACCUUACCUGGUCUUGACAUCCACAGAAGAAUCCAGAGAUGGAUUUGUGCCUUCGGGAACUGUGAGACAGGUGCUGCAUGGCUGUCGUCAGCUCGUGUUGUGAAAUGUUGGGUUAAGUCCCGCAACGAGCGCAACCCUUAUCCUUUGUUGCCAGCGAUUAGGUCGGGAACUCAAAGGAGACUGCCAGUGAUAAACUGGAGGAAGGUGGGGAUGACGUCAAGUCAUCAUGGCCAUACGACCAGGGCUACACACGUGCUACAAUGGCGCAUACAAAGAGAAGCGACCUCGCGAGAGCAAGCGGACCUCAUAAAGUGCGUCGUAGUCCGGAUUGGAGUCUGCAACUCGACUCCAUGAAGUCGGAAUCGCUAGUAAUCGUGGAUCAGAAUGCCACGGUGAAUACGUUCCCGGGCCUUGUACACACCGCCCGUCACACCAUGGGAGUGGGUUGCAAAAGAAGUAGGUAGCUUAACCUUCGGGAGGGCGCUUACCACUUUGUGAUUCAUGACUGGGGUGAAGUCGUAACAAGGUAACCGUAGGGGAACCUGCGGUUGGAUCACCUCCUUACCUUAAAGAA